Molecule: long non-coding RNA, 241 nt
Filed under: Salvia miltiorrhiza (redroot sage)
Lineage: Eukaryota; Viridiplantae; Streptophyta; Magnoliopsida; Lamiales; Lamiaceae
Description: long non-coding RNA (SMIL_LNC001446)
Source: RNAcentral
GAAGAUGGAGGUGAGCGAGCGAGAGAAGAGAGAGAUAGUUUCUGCAAUCUUUUUCUUUUUUUUUAGUAAGAAUGUUUAAUUCUCUUUUGUAUUUAUAUGCAUCUAUUACAAUUAAAAUAAUCUAGAUAUUUAAAUUAUUUAUUAUUGUUUAAGAAAAAUCUUAGAUAUUAAUUAUUAAAUCAAUUCUAGAAUAUUCCAUUUACUUAUACUUUUAUUAUAAACAAUUUACAUAUUAAUAUCU